This 498-nucleotide ribosomal RNA is filed under the name Triticum aestivum (bread wheat). RNAcentral's name for it is "partial small subunit ribosomal RNA". The record is from RNAcentral. Lineage: Eukaryota; Viridiplantae; Streptophyta; Magnoliopsida; Poales; Poaceae.
AUGAACAUCGCCCUCUUGACCCGUUGGCUCUGGCGCAUUGCCAAUGGGGAUGGAGGUCUCUGGCUUACUAUCAUCCAGAACAAGUACUUGCGUGGGCAGCCUCUCGCAUUCUGCCAACGCUCAGGCGGCUCCCAGUUUUGGCAGGCCGUCGUCCAGCUGUUGCCUGUACUGCGCAUUGGCACAUCCAUCUCGGUGGGCACUGGGUCCUCGACCCUGUUUUGGCUGGAUAGGUGGCUUGGUGACACCCCCCUAGCCGCGCGUUUCCCAGUGCUCUUCGACAUUGUCGUUGACCCUCGGGUCUCUGUCGAGACGGCCCUUAUUGACUUAGGGCGCCUCGUGUUCCGCCGCCCCUUUGGUCCUGCUGACGUGGCAGCCUGGGAUGCCCUCCUCCAGGACGUCGCCCUCCUCCCUAUGGACGUGGCCGACUCUUGGACGUCAUCUCUUGGCGUCUGGAACCCUCCGGCUGCUUCUCCACCAAAUCCCUCUACUCGGCUAUAG